This 464-nucleotide ribosomal RNA is filed under the name uncultured Klebsiella sp. RNAcentral describes it as "bacterial SSU rRNA". It matches the Rfam family "Bacterial small subunit ribosomal RNA", at positions 338 to 795 of the family's 1533-position model. Lineage: Bacteria; Pseudomonadati; Pseudomonadota; Gammaproteobacteria; Enterobacterales; Enterobacteriaceae. The record is from RNAcentral.
CCUACGGGUGGCAGCAGUGGGGAAUAUUGCACAAUGGGCGCAAGCCUGAUGCAGCCAUGCCGCGUGUGUGAAGAAGGCCUUCGGGUUGUAAAGCACUUUCAGCGGGGAGGAAGGCGUUAAGGUUAAUAACCUUGGCGAUUGACGUUACCCGCAGAAGAAGCACCGGCUAACUCCGUGCCAGCAGCCGCGGUAAUACGGAGGGUGCAAGCGUUAAUCGGAAUUACUGGGCGUAAAGCGCACGCAGGCGGUCUGUCAAGUCGGAUGUGAAAUCCCCGGGCUCAACCUGGGAACUGCAUUCGAACUGGCAGGCUAGAGUCUUGUAGAGGGGGGUAGAAUUCCCGGGGUAGCGGUGAAAUGCGUAGAGACCUGGAGGAAUACCGGGGGCGAAGGCGGCCCCCUGGACAAAGACUGACGCUCAGGUGCGAAAGCGGUGGGAGCAAACAGGAUUAGAUACCCUUGUAGUC